Molecule: ribosomal RNA, 253 nt
Filed under: uncultured bacterium
Lineage: Bacteria
Description: partial 16S ribosomal RNA
Rfam family: Bacterial small subunit ribosomal RNA
Source: RNAcentral
UACGGGGGGGGCAAGCGUUGUUCGGAAUUACUGGGCGUAAAGGGCUCGUAGGCGGCCAACUAAGUCAGACGUGAAAUCCCCAGGCUCAACCUGGGAACUGCGUCUGAUACUGAUUGGCUUGAAUCCGGGAGAGGGAUGCAGAAUUCCAGGUGUAGCGGUGAAAUGCGCAGAUAUCAGGAGGAACACCGAUGGCGAAGGCAGGUCUCUGGGCAUUAACUGACGCUGAGGAGCGAAAGCAUGGGGAGCGAACAGG